AGAGUUUGAUCCUGGCUCAGGACGAACGCUGGCGGCGUGCUUAACACAUGCAAGUCGAGCGGAAAGGCCCUUCGGGGUACUCGAGCGGCGAACGGGUGAGUAACACGUGAGUAACCUGUCCUUAGCUUCGGGAUAACCCUCGGAAACGGGGGCUAAUACCGGAUAGGACCUGGCCCUGCAUGGGGUUGGGUGGAAAGUUU
This 200-nucleotide ribosomal RNA is filed under the name uncultured bacterium. RNAcentral describes it as "partial 16S ribosomal RNA". It matches the Rfam family "Bacterial small subunit ribosomal RNA", at positions 8 to 210 of the family's 1533-position model. The record is from RNAcentral.